This 72-nucleotide transfer RNA is filed under the name Diutina rugosa. RNAcentral describes it as "Candida rugosa tRNA". It matches the Rfam family "tRNA". Rfam says of the family: Transfer RNA (tRNA) molecules are approximately 80 nucleotides in length. The record is from Rfam by way of RNAcentral. RNAcentral also lists the same sequence under 1 other name. Lineage: Eukaryota; Fungi; Ascomycota; Pichiomycetes; Serinales; Debaryomycetaceae.
AGCGUCGUGGCGCAGUGGUAGCGCGUUGGGCUCAUAACCCAAAGGUCCUUGGAUCGAAACCAAGCGACGCUA